GAAACUGCGAAUGGCUCAUUAAAUCAGUUAUCGUUUAUUUGAUAGUACCUUACUACAUGGAUACCUGUGGUAAUUCUAGAGCUAAUACAUGCUAAAAACCCCGACUUCAGGAAGGGGUGUAUUUAUUAGAUAAAAAACCAACGCCCUUCGGGGCUCCUUGGUGAAUCAUAAUAACUUAACGAAUCGCAUGGCCUUGCGCCGGCGAUGGUUCAUUCAAAUUUCUGCCCUAUCAACUUUCGAUGGUAGGAUAGUGGCCUACCAUGGUGGCAACGGGUAACGGGGAAUUAGGGUUCGAUUCCGGAGAGGGAGCCUGAGAAACGGCUACCACAUCCAAGGAAGGCAGCAGGCGCGCAAAUUACCCAAUCCCGAUACGGGGAGGUAGUGACAAUAAAUACUGAUACGGGGCUCUUUUGGGUCUCGUAAUUGGAAUGAGAACAAUUUAAAUCCCUUAACGAGGAACAAUUGGAGGGCAAGUCUGGUGCCAGCAGCCGCGGUAAUUCCAGCUCCAAUAGCGUAUAUUAAAGUUGUUGCAGUUAAAAAGCUCGUAGUUGAACCUUGGGUCUGGCUGGCCGGUCCGCCUCAC
This 583-nucleotide ribosomal RNA is filed under the name uncultured fungus. RNAcentral describes it as "SSU rRNA". It matches the Rfam family "Eukaryotic small subunit ribosomal RNA", at positions 83 to 668 of the family's 1831-position model. Lineage: Eukaryota; Fungi. The record is from RNAcentral.